RNAcentral lists this ribosomal RNA (1438 nucleotides) under uncultured organism. RNAcentral's name for it is "partial small subunit ribosomal RNA". It matches the Rfam family "Bacterial small subunit ribosomal RNA". The record is from RNAcentral.
UUGCGGCGUGCUUAACACAUGCAAGUCGAACGGAAAGGCCCUGCUUUUGUGGGGUGCUCGAGUGGCGAACGGGUGAGUAACACGUGAGUAACCUGCCCUUGACUUUGGGAUAACUUCAGGAAACUGGGGCUAAUACCGGAUAGGAGCUCCUGCUGCAUGGUGGGGGUUGGAAAGUUUCGGCGGUUGGGGAUGGACUCGCGGCUUAUCAGCUUGUUGGUGGGGUAGUGGCUUACCAAGGCUUUGACGGGUAGCCGGCCUGAGAGGGUGACCGGCCACAUUGGGACUGAGAUACGGCCCAGACUCCUACGGGAGGCAGCAGUGGGGAAUAUUGCACAAUGGGCGGAAGCCUGAUGCAGCAACGCCGCGUGCGGGAUAACGGCCUUCGGGUUGUAAACCGCUUUCGCCUGUGACGAAGCGUGAGUGACGGUAAUGGGUAAAGAAGCACCGGCUAACUACGUGCCAGCAGCCGCGGUGAUACGUAGGGUGCGAGCGUUGUCCGGAUUUAUUGGGCGUAAAGGGCUCGUAGGUGGUUGAUCGCGUCGGAAGUGUAAUCUUGGGGCUUAACCCUGAGCGUGCUUUCGAUACGGGUUGACUUGAGGAAGGUAGGGGAGAAUGGAAUUCCUGGUGGAGCGGUGGAAUGCGCAGAUAUCAGGAGGAACACCAGUGGCGAAGGCGGUUCUCUGGGCCUUUCCUGACGCUGAGGAGCGAAAGCGUGGGGAGCGAACAGGCUUAGAUACCCUGGUAGUCCACGCUGUAAACGGUGGGUACUAGGUGUGGGGUCCAUUCCACGGGUUCCGUGCCGUAGCUAACGCUUUAAGUACCCCGCCUGGGGAGUACGGCCGCAAGGCUAAAACUCAAAGGAAUUGACGGGGCCCCGCACAAGCGGCGGAGCAUGCGGAUUAAUUCGAUGCAACGCGUAGAACCUUACCUGGGUUUGACAUGGAUCGGGAGUGCUCAGAGAUGGGUGUGCCUCUUUUGGGGUCGGUUCACAGGUGGUGCAUGGCUGUCGUCAGCUCGUGUCGUGAGAUGUUGGGUUAAGUCCCGCAACGAGCGCAACCCUUGUUCACUGUUGCCAGCACGUUAUGGUGGGGACUCAGUGGAGACCGCCGGGGUCAACUCGGAGGAAGGUGGGGAUGACGUCAAGUCAUCAUGCCCCUUAUGUCCAGGGCUUCACGCAUGCUACAAUGGCUGGUACAGAGAGUGGCGGGCCUGUGAGGGUGAGCGAAUCUCGGAAAGCCGGUCUCAGUUCGGAUUGGGGUCUGCAACUCGACCUCAUGAAGUCGGAGUCGCUAGUAAUCGCAGAUCAGCAACGCUGCGGUGAAUACGUUCCCGGGGCUUGUACACACCGCCCGUCAAGUCAUGAAAGUUGGUAACACCCGAAGCCGGUGGCCUAACCGUUGUGGGGGAGCCGUCGAAGGUGGGACUGGUGAUUAGGACU